UACGGAGGGUGCAAGCGUUGUCCGGAUUUAUUGGGUUUAAAGGGUGCGUAGGCGGCUUUUUAAGUCAGCGGUGAAAUACUUCGGCUCAACCGAGGAACUGCCGUUGAUACUGGAAGGCUUGAGUACUGAUGAAGUGGGCGGAAUUGAAGGUGUAGCGGUGAAAUGCUUAGAUAUCGUCAAGAACACCGAUAGUGAAGACAGCUAACUAAGCUCAAACUGACGCUGAGGCACGAAAGUGUGGGGAUCAAACAGG
Molecule: ribosomal RNA, 253 nt
Filed under: uncultured bacterium
Lineage: Bacteria
Description: partial 16S ribosomal RNA
Rfam family: Bacterial small subunit ribosomal RNA
Source: RNAcentral